GACGAACGCUGGCGGCGUGCUUAACACAUGCAAGUCGAACGGAAAGGCCCUGCUUUUGUGGGGUGCUCGAGUGGCGAACGGGUGAGUAACACGUGAGUAACCUGCCCUUGACUUUGGGAUAACUUCAGGAAACUGGGGCUAAUACCGGAUAGGAGCUCCUGCUGCAUGGUGGGGAUUGGAAAGUUUCGGCGGGUGGGGAUGGACUCGCGGCUUAUCAGCUUGUUGGUGGGGUAGUGGCUUACCAAGGCUUUGACGGGUCGCCGGCCUGAGAGGGUGACCGGCCACCUUGGGACUGAGAUACGGCCCAGACGCCUACGGGAGGCAGCAGUGGGGAGUAUUGCACAAUGGGCGGAAGCCUGAUGCAGCAACGCCGCGUGCGGGAUGAAGGCCUUCGGGCUGUAAACCGCUUUCGCCUGUGACGAAGCGUGAGUGACGGUAAUGGGUAAAGAAGCACCGGCUAACUACGUG
Molecule: ribosomal RNA, 468 nt
Filed under: uncultured bacterium
Lineage: Bacteria
Description: partial 16S ribosomal RNA
Rfam family: Bacterial small subunit ribosomal RNA
Source: RNAcentral